UAGAAUUGUCUCCCCUAGAAGGACCUUCCUUGCCAAAGGUGACCAUGGGUUGGGCUGUGGUCUUCCUUGCGCUCCUCGCUUACUGCACAGGCAUUGAUGGUCAACUAAGUUGGACUCAGCCUCCAACAAGUUCCGUGUCCCCAGGUGGAACCGUUACAAUCUCCUGCACAACCCAGAGUACUGACACCAUCCGCUGGCAUCAACAGAAAGCAGGAAAAUCCCCUCGUUUUGUCCACUGUGAUGGCUGCAGCAGGGGAGAAGGGAUCCCAAAUCGGUUCACUGCCACCAGAUCUGGGACCACAGGAUCUUUGACCAUUACCAACACAGAGGCUGGAGAUGAGGCUGAUUAUUACUGUGGUAGCUGGAACAGUGCAGGCAACGCGUUCCACAGUGAUUAAUUCUUAUGGGGAAGUGUGACAAAAACCUCCUCUCUGCCUCUCCAGCCU
Molecule: non-coding RNA, 446 nt
Organism: Pantherophis guttatus
Lineage: Eukaryota; Metazoa; Chordata; Lepidosauria; Squamata; Colubridae
Source: the annotation of a RefSeq genome assembly